This 1716-nucleotide ribosomal RNA is filed under the name Triticum aestivum (bread wheat). RNAcentral's name for it is "partial small subunit ribosomal RNA". Lineage: Eukaryota; Viridiplantae; Streptophyta; Magnoliopsida; Poales; Poaceae. The record is from RNAcentral.
GUGUUACAGGGCACAGUUCUAAUACUCUCACAUAAACAAAAUAAGUACUACUAAUCAAGCACAAGUCUGAAACUAAACAAGCUUCAAGCACUACUCAAAUCUGAACAUUACAAAGCAUUUGCCAUACACAUCUCAAUUCUGAAUAUUACAAAGUCUAAACAUUACACUACCCUAAACAUUACACUACUCAAGGUUACAGAAAUUUGAGAGAGAGGGAGAGAGAGAGAGAACAACAGCUGGAUUAUGGUUCAGAAAAGAAGCAAAGAAGCAGAGGAAGAGGAGGAGGCGUUGAGGAGGGACGGCAGCAAGGAACAGAGGAGCAGCGAAGGGGGUUCAGAGAGAAGGGAUAAGCAGCAGGGGCGUUGGAGAGAGAGCAACAGCAAGUUGGGGCAAGGGAAGGUGAAGAGCAGCAGCAGGUAUAGGAGAAGAAGAAGGAGCAGCGGCGGCUCGGCGCAAGAAGAAGAAGCAGAAAGCAGCGGAAGGAGGGAGAAGGAGCAGCGAGGGAGAUUGUAGACGAGCAGCAGCAGGGGCGCGGAGAAGAAGGAGCAGCAGACAGGGAUUCAGCGAAGCGGGGAAGAAGGGAAGAAGAAGCAGCGGCGGUGUGUCUGGCCGGGCGCGCCGGCUGGAGGGAGAGGUCGUGCGAGGUGGGCACUGGUAGCUGGUUGGCGCGCCGCCACGCUGGCCUGGCCGCAGCGGCGGCCGUAGGUGGAGAAGGAAGCGGGGGAGAGAGGAGAUGGAGAUAUACCAGGCCCAAUUUGGGAAUGGAUGCAUCUAGGGAUUUUGAUCCCCAUCUGAUCUGCCACUUUUAUGAUUUGGCCCUCCUCUUCUAUUCAUUUCUUCCCAAGAAGAUCCCCUUCUUCUUUUAGUUUGCUCCCCUGGAUACUUCUUUUCUUCUCACUGAAGUCCUUGACGUAUUUCUUUCAUGCCCUUCUCUCUUCUGGUUAGCCAUAUGUUCGGAAUCUUGACGAUUAUAGUGCCUUUGCGCACUUUUCUGCAAAAGAAACAAGUGACAAGUAAAUGAACCCUUUAUAUGAUUCUCAUUAAAAUAUGCGGUAAUUCAUAGCAAGAAUUGAUUGUCAGAUCACAACAGAUGCUAUAUUUGGGUGUCAAAUUAUAUAUAUGAAAUGUGCUUAUCAAGUUCCCCCACACUUAAAUCUUUGCUUGUCCUCAAGCAAAGGCAAAUGACAAUAGCAAGAAUGUGAACAGUGAGCUGACUAGAGAAUGCCAAGUGAAGUAGAUCUCCAAACAAUGCAUGCUUUGGACUUAGCUAGUGAAAAUCAAUGGUUAGGAGUGCUUCAAAGCGGUAGAAUACUAGUAGACUUGACCAUUUUAAACUUUUACAAUGAUAAAAGAGGAUCAACAAGUUUAAGUGAUGACUGUGCCAAAUGGUUCCUAAAGAGAGCAUGAUCCCGAGAACAAAAAGAACUGGAAUUAAAUCUUGUGAUCAAAUCACUUAUUUACAGAGAUAAAGCAAUGAUUAUAUUAUUAUUAGUCUCACCAUAGGAACAUACCAGCGAUCCCGAGAACAUGGUAUACACCCAGCUCAACCAAUUAUUAGUUUUUUUUGUUUGCCUCCCCAAAGGAACAUACCACCGAUCCCGAGAACAUGGUAUACACCUGGUUCGACAAUUACAUUUUUUAACAUAAUUAACUCCUAUCCGAUCCAACCAGAUUUCACAAGCCACCGAUCCAGGGAACAUGGCAUGCUACUGUUAG